This 629-nucleotide ribosomal RNA is filed under the name uncultured bacterium. RNAcentral describes it as "bacterial SSU rRNA". It matches the Rfam family "Bacterial small subunit ribosomal RNA", at positions 554 to 1182 of the family's 1533-position model. The record is from RNAcentral.
CUGGGCGUAAGCGAGUGUAGGUGGCUCAUUAAGUCACAUGUGAAAUCCCCGGGCUUAACCUGGGAACUGCAUGUGAUACUGGUGGUGCUAGAAUAUGUGAGAGGGAAGUAGAAUUCCAGGUGUAGCGGUGAAAUGCGUAGAGAUCUGGAGGAAUACCGAUGGCGAAGGCAGCUUCCUGGCAUAAUAUUGACACUGAGAUUCGAAAGCGUGGGUAGCAAACAGGAUUAGAUACCCUGGUAGUCCACGCCGUAAACGAUGUCUACUAGCCGUUGGGGUCCUUGAGACUUUAGUGGCGCAGUUAACGCGAUAAGUAGACCGCCUGGGGAGUACGGCCGCAAGGUUAAAACUCAAAUGAAUUGACGGGGGCCCGCACAAGCGGUGGAGCAUGUGGUUUAAUUCGAUGCAACGCGAAGAACCUUACCUGGUCUUGACAUAGUGAGAAUCCUGCAGAGAUGCGGGAGUGCCUUCGGGAAUUCACAUACAGGUGCUGCAUGGCUGUCGUCAGCUCGUGUCGUGAGAUGUUGGGUUAAGUCCCGCAACGAGCGCAACCCUUUUCCUUAUUUGCCAGCGGGUUAAGCCGGGAACUUUAAGGAUACUGCCAGUGACAAACUGGAGGAAGGCGGGGACGA